This 73-nucleotide transfer RNA is filed under the name Ehrlichia canis. Its description in RNAcentral is "tRNA-Lys". It matches the Rfam family "tRNA". Rfam says of the family: Transfer RNA (tRNA) molecules are approximately 80 nucleotides in length. Their secondary structure includes four short double-helical elements and three loops (D, anti-codon, and T loops). The record is from RNAcentral. Lineage: Bacteria; Pseudomonadati; Pseudomonadota; Alphaproteobacteria; Rickettsiales; Anaplasmataceae. RNAcentral also lists the same sequence under 3 other names.
GAUCCCGUAGCUCAGUCGGUAGAGCAAUUGACUUUUAAUCAGUGUGUCGCGCGUUCGAUUCGCGCCGGGAUCA